UACGGAGGAUGCGAGCGUUAUCCGGAUUUAUUGGGUUUAAAGGGUGCGUAGGCGGACUGUCAAGUCAGCGGUAAAAUUGAGAGGCUCAACCUCUUCCCGCCGUUGAAACUGGUGGUCUUGAGUGGAUGAGAAGUACGCGGAAUGCGUGGUGUAGCGGUGAAAUGCAUAGAUAUCACGCAGAACUCCGCUUGCGAAGGCAGCGUACCGGCAUCCAACUGACGCUGAGGCACGAAAGCGUGGGGAUCAAACAGG
Molecule: ribosomal RNA, 252 nt
Filed under: uncultured bacterium
Lineage: Bacteria
Description: partial 16S ribosomal RNA
Rfam family: Bacterial small subunit ribosomal RNA
Source: RNAcentral